UCCGGUUUGACACCGGCAGUCCCGCUAGAGUCCCCGACAUGACUCGCUGGCAACUAGCGGCAGGGGUUUCGCUCGUUAGAGGACUUAACCCGACACUUCACAGCACGAGCUGACGACAGCCAUGCAGCACCUGUGCAUGUUCCACUCAAAGAGCGUCAUUCCGCUUUCACGGAACUAAUCCAUGCAUGUCAAGCCCAGGAUAAGGUUCUUCGCGUUGCUUCGAAUUAAGCCACAUGUUCCACCGCUUGUGUGAGCCCCCGUCAAUUCCUUUGAGUUUUAGCCUUGCGACCGUACUCCCCAGGCGGUACACUUAAUACUUUUGCUCCAGCCGUGCUGGCGUCAAAACCCUCACGACCUAGUGUACAUCGUUUACGGCGUGGACUAC
Molecule: unclassified non-coding RNA, 385 nt
Filed under: uncultured Phycisphaeraceae bacterium
Lineage: Bacteria; Pseudomonadati; Planctomycetota; Phycisphaerae; Phycisphaerales; Phycisphaeraceae
Description: contains 16S-23S intergenic spacer region
Source: RNAcentral